GACGAACGCUGGCGGCGUGCUUAACACAUGCAAGUCGAACGGAAAGGCCCUGCUUUUGUGGGGUGCUCGAGUGGCGAACGGGUGAGUAACACGUGAGUAACCUGCCCUUGACUUUGGGAUAACUUCAGGAAACUGGGGCUAAUACCGGAUAGGAGCUCCUGCUGCAUGGUGGGGGUUGGAAAGUUUCGGCGGUUGGGGGUGGACUCGCGGCUUAUCAGCUUGUUGGUGGGGUAGUGGCUUACCAAGGCUUUGACGGGUAGCCGGCCUGAGAGGGUGACCGGCCACAUUGGGACUGAGAUACGGUCCAGACUCCUACGGGAGGCAGCAGUGGGGAAUAUUGCACAAUGGGCGGAAGCCUGAUGCAGCAACGCCGCGUGCGGGAUGACGGCCUUCGGGCUGUAAACCGCUUUCGCCUGUGACGAAGCGUGAGUGACGGUAAUGGGUAAAGAAGCACCGGCUAACUACGUG
This 468-nucleotide ribosomal RNA is filed under the name uncultured bacterium. RNAcentral's name for it is "partial 16S ribosomal RNA". It matches the Rfam family "Bacterial small subunit ribosomal RNA", at positions 28 to 507 of the family's 1533-position model. The record is from RNAcentral.